CAAUAGCGUAUAUUAAAGUUGUUGCAGUUAAAAAGCUCGUAGUUGAAUUUCUAAUUAGUUAAUUUGGAGUCUAUCCACUUUAGCUAGUUAUUCGACACUGAACCGUGACGGUUAUUAAGUUAACCCCACGGAGAAUUGUCAUUUUACUUUGAAAAAUUAGAGUGUUUCAGGCAGGCAAUUGCCCGAAUAUCUUAGCAUGGAAUAAUGGAAUAGGACUUUGGUUCAUUUUAUUGGUUAUUGAAUCAGAGUAAUGAUUAAUAGGGACAGUUGGGGGCAUUAGUAUUUAAUUGUCAGAGGUGAAAUUCUUGGAUUUAUUAAAGACUAACUUAUGCGAAAGCAUUUGCCAAGGAUGUUUUCAUUAAUCAAGAACGAAAGUUAGGGGAUCAAAGACGAUCAGAUACCAU
Molecule: ribosomal RNA, 404 nt
Filed under: uncultured eukaryote
Lineage: Eukaryota
Description: SSU rRNA
Rfam family: Eukaryotic small subunit ribosomal RNA
Source: RNAcentral